CCAGUGCAGACUACAUUUCCCAGCAUCUCUAGAAGCUAAAUAAGUUCCUGUGCUAAAAUUCCGGGAGAUGGAAGAUGAGUGAAAUUGAUAUCUUUCAUUUCUGGGUCAUCUCCUUAAAUACUUGCUCUGUACUCUCCCCUGUCCCUUAUUCUGUGGGCUAUCGCACAGAUGUGGUAGAGACCCAGAUUCGGUAACGCUGAAGAACAUGACAUCAGUGAAUGGUAAUGCAGCAGAAAGGAAGGAACUUGCGUCCUUUAAUGACCUAGAGGAGUCAAUCUACUUCACCACCUGGAUCGGCGGGACUGUAAUGUGAGAAACACAUUUCUAUCUAUAAAAAAAAAUGGCUUCACUUGUGAAAAUUGCCUGCAGGACUUAGGGGACAAACAGAUUUUUGAAGACAAAAGUCUGAUGUGUCAAGCUGAACUCUCUGAAUAUUCAUUAUCAUUCCAAGGGCUUUCCAUUGCUCCUCACUUGAUAACGGGAGAAGCCAAGAUGGCAGAACAGCAUGGAAGCUGUUUGUGUGUCUCGCGUCCAUG
This is a long non-coding RNA of Felis catus (domestic cat), 536 nucleotides long. RefSeq lists it as uncharacterized. NCBI's taxonomy places the organism in Eukaryota, Metazoa, Chordata, Mammalia, Carnivora, Felidae. The record is from RefSeq and is a predicted model, not a curated record. The transcript is spliced from 3 exons.